AACGAACGCUGGCGGCGUGCCUAACACAUGCAAGUCGAGCGAGAAAGUUCCCUUCGGGGAGCGAGUAAAGCGGCGCACGGGUGAGUAACACGUAGGUAACCUGCCCCUAAGUCUGGAACAACUGGAGGAAACUCCAGCUAAUGCCGGAUAAGACCACGAUCCCCUCGGGGAUUGCGGCCAAAGAUGGCCUCUACUUGUAAGCUAUCGCUGAGGGAUGGGCCUGCGGGCCAUUAGCUCGUUGGUGAGGUAACGGCUCACCAAGGCUGUGAUGGCUAGCUGGUCUGAGAGGAUGACCAGCCACACUGGGACUGAGACACGGCCCAG
Molecule: ribosomal RNA, 324 nt
Filed under: uncultured bacterium
Lineage: Bacteria
Description: bacterial SSU rRNA
Rfam family: Bacterial small subunit ribosomal RNA
Source: RNAcentral